Molecule: long non-coding RNA, 1024 nt
Organism: Saccostrea cuccullata (small rock oyster)
Lineage: Eukaryota; Metazoa; Mollusca; Bivalvia; Ostreida; Ostreidae
Exons: 4
Source: RefSeq, a predicted model, not a curated record
UUCACCAUUAUACUUCAUUUUCCUGACGUUUUUCGGGGUACAUUUGCAAACAAGUUCGGUUUUGGCCAAUUGUUCAUGUGAUGCAAACACAACAAGACGUCUCUUCGUUCUGAACAAGCGAUGAAUUUACAAUAGAAAGCUAUUAAUAACACCAAACUUGAGCUUUCAAGAUGGAAACAAACUUCCAACAACAUCAACGCCUCUUUGCAAAACCUUUUAACAUUAUUCCAUGGCAGCGUUCAACAGAUCUCAAAUCAGGAUCUUAUCAUCCACGAUUUAAAGUCUACAAUUGCGGAUAUGAAGACACUGUUUGGAAACACAUAUUUGGAAAUUAUGCAUGCAUUUAACAGCCUAGAAAGUCAACAUAACAGCACAGUUCAACAACAAAGUUCAACACAGAUCUUAAUUAAUGAAGAAAUAAAAGGCAUAAAAGACUAAUACAAGCACAUUUCAAACACGAUCAACUCAACUAUGAAACUUGAAUUUACACAACAAAAGGCUGCUCUUCAACGACUGGAAUUUAAGAAAAGAUCACUAGAAGGAAAAUUAAGUUUGAAUAUUGCCUUUACCGCUCUAAUUAAAUACGGCACAACGAUAUCUGGUUUACAAGCAAAAGAAAAAAUUGUAUUUAGUCACAUAUUUACUAACCUGGGAAAUGCGUACGAUUCAUCAACUGGGAUAUUUCGUUGUCCUCAUGAUGGGUUAUAUGGAUUUUUCUUCAACAUUCACACAUCAGGCGAUGAUGUGCUUGCUGAGUUGACAAAAAAUAUUGACUGUCAUUUUGUAUUGGCAUUUUCUGGAGUAGCUACAUCUACGAAGUUAAAUGGAAGUGCAUUUGUUUUACUAUCACUGGUUGCAGGAGAUGAAGUAUGGCUGAGAGCAACUAGAGAUUGCGAUGGAAUGCUAGAAUACCAAGAAAAUUCCUUCUCUGGAUUUCUCUUACGUCCUUAUUAGAUAGUUGAAAAUUUAUUUGAUUCAAACAAUUUGAGAAUUAUGUGAAGUUAUUAAUUUGAAAUUUUCCCAC